UGAGAUCUAAAGUUAGUUCUCUAGUAGUGAAUUGUAGUAUGGAGAUGAAGAAAAUUUAGUUGACAAGACUAUUCAGAUGGGCUUUUCAGUUAGUAGCUUGAUUAUAUGAGUUUAGCACAUGGUAUAACAUGAGAACAUUUGAGGAGCAAAGAAGUUGCCUAAGAACUCAAAGGGGUUUGCAUGGGAUGAGUCCAAAGUGAUUUUUACCUGCACUAGAUAAUCUGAUGCCAUCAUUUUUACGUGUGUCAUCUUUGGCGGAACCUUC
This 265-nucleotide long non-coding RNA is filed under the name Setaria viridis. RNAcentral's name for it is "long non-coding RNA (SVIR_LNC006622)". The record is from RNAcentral. Lineage: Eukaryota; Viridiplantae; Streptophyta; Magnoliopsida; Poales; Poaceae.